Long non-coding RNA from Perca fluviatilis (European perch), 240 nucleotides. RefSeq lists it as uncharacterized. The transcript has 3 exons. The record is from RefSeq and is a predicted model, not a curated record. Lineage: Eukaryota; Metazoa; Chordata; Actinopteri; Perciformes; Percidae.
AGACAAGCAUACCUCAGAAAAGGCCAGCAAGGGCUCGGCAGGUGUGGAAGAAUUGGCCAGGCUUGAGUGCAGCCUUGGUGAAAUGAUCAUUGGUGCAGAGGAACAUCUGGAUGAACAAGCCAUCAAUGACUUGAGGAAUAGCACGAUUGACUGGGCAGUUAACCCUCCACCUGUAAAGGCAUCAGAUACUGAUGAUGAGGAGCUUGACAGCUCUGAUGAAGAGUACAUCCCUCCACUUUC